Non-coding RNA from Gossypium raimondii (Peruvian cotton), 145 nucleotides. Lineage: Eukaryota; Viridiplantae; Streptophyta; Magnoliopsida; Malvales; Malvaceae. The record is from Rfam.
UGUUAAAAGUUUCAUCCAUUUUUAUUGUUAAAAGCCGGUGUCACUGACGAAAUAAUCAGAUAGUUACACGUGAGGUGUCAUGUGCACCUCUUUCUAACAUACAAUGACCAAUUUUUAACCGUAGAAAUGACAGGAAUUUUUAACA